Molecule: ribosomal RNA, 254 nt
Filed under: uncultured bacterium
Lineage: Bacteria
Description: partial 16S ribosomal RNA
Rfam family: Bacterial small subunit ribosomal RNA
Source: RNAcentral
UACGGGGGGGGCAAGCGUUGUUCGGAAUUACUGGGCGUAAAGGGCUCGUAGGCGGCCAACUAAGUCCGACGUGAAAUCCCAAGGCUUAACCUUGGAACUGCGUCGGAUACUGGAUGGCUUGAAUUCGGGAGAGGGAUGCAGAAUUCCAGGUGUAGCGGUGAAAUGCGUAGAUAUCUGGAGGAACACCGGUGGCGAAGGCGGCAUCCUGGACCACGACUGACGCUGAGUGAGCGAAAGCCAGGGGAGCAAACGGG